GACGAACGCUGGCGGCGUGCUUAACACAUGCCAGUCGAACGGAAAGGCCCCUUUGGGGGUACUCGAGUGGCGAACGGGUGAGUAACACGUGAGUAACCUGCCCUUGACUUCGGGAUAACUUCAGGAAACUGGGGCUAAUACCGGAUAGGAAUCCUUGCUGCAUGGUGGGGGUUGGAAAGCUUCGGCGGUUUUGGAUGGACUCACGGCUUAUCAGCUUGUUGGUGGGGUAGUGGCUUACCAAGGCUUUGACGGGUAGCCGGCCUGAGAGGGCGACCGGCCACAUUGGGACUGAGAUACGGCCCAGACUCCUACGGGAGGCAGCAGUGGGGAAUAUUGCACAAUGGGCGGAAGCCUGAUGCAGCAACGCCGCGUGCGGGAUGACGGCCUUCGGGUUGUAAACCGCUUUCAGCAGGGGCGAAGCUUGUGGUGACGGUACCUGCAGAAGAAGCACCGGCUAACUACGUG
RNAcentral lists this ribosomal RNA (465 nucleotides) under uncultured bacterium. Its description in RNAcentral is "partial 16S ribosomal RNA". It matches the Rfam family "Bacterial small subunit ribosomal RNA", at positions 28 to 507 of the family's 1533-position model. The record is from RNAcentral.